UGAGAAUGACCCUUAUUAUAUUUUUACAUUACCCAUAACUUAAAAGAACCAUAGUAAUAAAAAGAUAUUCAAAUCAAUCCUGAAACAGAACUCGUAAAGCAAACCGCAACCCUUUUGACUCAAACAUAAUCAAACAUACCCAACUGCAUGCGAGAGAAAGAUGAAGCUCACAGAAGACAUACAGCACAUCAUAUUUUAUUUAAGGUGAGAUUCUAUGUCCUUGGUGAGGUUAUUCAUAAGAUCAAGAUAUUUGUAAGGAUAAGGAGAGCCAUCAUUGAGUUUCUCAUACUCCAGUGUUAAAACUGCUAAGCUAUGUUCAGGUCCCUUUGGCACAACUUGAUAUGUUCCCUUGAAAAGUUUGUAAUGCUCAAAUACAUCUCCUUCCAACCCAAUCAAAG
Molecule: long non-coding RNA, 398 nt
Filed under: Cucumis sativus (cucumber)
Lineage: Eukaryota; Viridiplantae; Streptophyta; Magnoliopsida; Cucurbitales; Cucurbitaceae
Description: long non-coding RNA (CSAT_LNC001878)
Source: RNAcentral